RNAcentral lists this ribosomal RNA (252 nucleotides) under uncultured bacterium. RNAcentral describes it as "partial 16S ribosomal RNA". It matches the Rfam family "Bacterial small subunit ribosomal RNA", at positions 526 to 779 of the family's 1533-position model. The record is from RNAcentral.
CGGAGGAUCCAAGCGUUAUACGGAUUUAUUGGGUUUAAAGGGUGCGUAGGCGGCUUAUUAAGUCAGGGGUGAAAGACGGUGGCUCAACCAUCGCAGUGCCUUUGAUACUGAUGAGCUUGAAUGAACUAGAGGUAGGCGGAAUGUGACAAGUAGCGGUGAAAUGCAUAGAUAUGUCACAGAACACCGAUUGCGAAGGCAGCUUACUAUGGUUUAUUGACGCUGAGGCACGAAAGCGUGGGAUCAAACAGGAUU